RNAcentral lists this transfer RNA (72 nucleotides) under Heterocephalus glaber (naked mole-rat). It matches the Rfam family "tRNA". Rfam says of the family: Transfer RNA (tRNA) molecules are approximately 80 nucleotides in length. Lineage: Eukaryota; Metazoa; Chordata; Mammalia; Rodentia; Bathyergidae. The record is from Rfam by way of RNAcentral.
AAUGAUGUAGCUCAGUGGUAGAGCACUUGCCUAGCAUGUGUGAGGCCCUGGGUUCUAUCCCUAGUACCAGCA